Ailuropoda melanoleuca (giant panda) is the source of this 167-nucleotide long non-coding RNA. RefSeq lists it as uncharacterized. NCBI's taxonomy places the organism in Eukaryota, Metazoa, Chordata, Mammalia, Carnivora, Ursidae. The transcript has 2 exons. The record is from RefSeq and is a predicted model, not a curated record.
CGAUUCCAAUUCAUCAUUGCCCUGGCACAUGUCAAUUACUAUAUAAAAAAUCAAAUGUAAUGUCAAAUCCAAAGCCUCAGUGGAAAGAGUUCAGUUCCCAAAAAACAGUGAUAGCUUAACAAGGUAAAACUUUUAUCUAGAGUACAUAGGCAUUAAGUUAGUACUGC